Molecule: ribosomal RNA, 253 nt
Filed under: uncultured bacterium
Lineage: Bacteria
Description: partial 16S ribosomal RNA
Rfam family: Bacterial small subunit ribosomal RNA
Source: RNAcentral
GACGUAGGGCGCGAGCGUUGUUCGGAUUCAUUGGGCGUAAAGGGUGCGUAGGCGGCGCGGUAAGUCGGGUGUGAAAUCUCGGAGCUUAACUCCGAAACUGCAUUCGAUACUGCCGUGCUUGAGGACUGGAGAGGAGACUGGAAUUUACGGUGUAGCGGUGAAAUGCGUAGAUAUCGUAAGGAAGACCAGUGGCGAAGGCGGGUCUCUGGACAGUUCCUGACACUGAGGCACGAAGGCCAGGGGAGCAAACGGG